AUUCUUGAAAACAGAAACGAAGCUGUAGGUCUGACCUAUAAGUUAGAAUAAAUUGGAAUGAAUCUUUGAGGAGAGGGUGGGAAGAACAUGAUGAAGACAGGUAUAAAGGGUAGGGAUGACAGGAGAACUCCAAUACUUGGGAAAACAAAAUUCAGACUGUUACAGGAUGAUAGUGAUUCCAAAUGAAUGUGAGCAGAGAAAUGCAAAGUCACUUUAAAGAGACAGCUGGGCAGCUGGCAGCUGACCCGCCUGACAGCUUCUGCAGGUCAGCCAGCUGAUCAGGCCCAGGCCAGGUUAGCAGUGCCCACCCAGAGCCUGGAGGGCUUGUGUGGUUCUAGGACAAGUUGGCACAAGUAGAGAUGGCAGAGCCCCAGUUCCUGCCCCAUGGUGCUGCAUCUCACCAGCUCCCCACCCGGCAGCAUCGUGUUCCCUAUGCCAGCUGGAAGACCCACCACUGCCCUCUCCUACAAUCCCCUGGUGUGGAGGGGAGCCUGGGUCUGUGACUUGCAGCCUCCACACCCACACACCAGGUGCUAGGAAGUCACUGGUCCUCUGGCCCUAGCUCCUUAGGGGAGGGGUGACACAGCAUGCAUGGACCUGUUAGGGAAAUCAAGGAUAUCUGCAGGAGAACCUGUGUGCAGAUGAGACCCCAGAGCCACCCUGCACCCAGUCACUAGGAUGAACCUAAGCAUCCUGGGGUCUCCCAUGAGGUCAUUCGGUCCUUUCCCCCACCCCUGGCCCUGGCAGCUUCCAGAACCAACCCCAGCCCAGCCAUUUCCAGUCUGGAUUCCGGGUGGGGGAGGGGAGGGUGACAUCACCCAGCCCUGUGUCUGGCAGGUGGAGACUGUACCAUGUGUCAGGCCUCCCCUGCUGGCCAUAUGUCCUGGUCACCUUGAGCCAGGCUGCUUGUGAAGCAGUGGGGAUGGUAGCACCCACUUUGCCAGGCAAGGUUGGGAAAUGCACUGAGAUCCUGAAUAAUAACACCACUUGCCACCCGUUUUGUGCUCUGUUGCUCACUUAGCCUUGUCCGCUCUCCCAGUGACCAUACAAGGCUCUGGCUGUGGUAACACCUGCUAUACUGCAAAGGAUGCAGGCUGAAGGGACAAAGGAGUCGAUGAUCUGAAUGGCAGAGCGCCUGGUCCUAGCUAGCUGGUUUAGCAAGCUAGGAAGCAAGAAAUAGAACCAGAAAAGGAGAAACUCAACUCGCAUUCGCAGGUGAUAUGAUUGUACCUAGAAAAUAUCAAGAUAUUCACAGCCACGUGAAGAAUGAAGUUUUAAAGUUGCUGGCUCAGAACACCAGAAGUCCAUUGUAUUUAAAACUCCCUGGGAAACAAAAUGAAACAAAAGUUUCCGUUUGUAACAGCAUCAAAACAAAAACUGUACCAAUAACAAAGUGAGCAAAAGUUGUGUAAGAAUGUUGUGUCCUGCUGGACUGUGAAACGGGAGGCAGAGGGGGGC
Molecule: long non-coding RNA, 1458 nt
Organism: Heterocephalus glaber (naked mole-rat)
Lineage: Eukaryota; Metazoa; Chordata; Mammalia; Rodentia; Bathyergidae
Source: Ensembl